Molecule: long non-coding RNA, 6723 nt
Filed under: Cicer arietinum (chickpea)
Lineage: Eukaryota; Viridiplantae; Streptophyta; Magnoliopsida; Fabales; Fabaceae
Description: long non-coding RNA (CARI_LNC001126)
Source: RNAcentral
UUGAUUAUCCCUCCAAAAACCCACUAUUUCCCUUUGUUUCAUUAUGAUUUUUGUACAAAAAAAGAAACUCGAAAGAGAAAUAACUCAUAGUAUUCCUUGUUUUUCAUCUCCUUUUUGGCUGAGGAAGAUAACAAUUCCUAACUUUGGCGACUUUCUUCCUUCAGCUCUGUCAUUAGAAUCUUUUUGUUCACUCUUCCUCAUUUUCUCACAAAGCUUUAGGGUUUAUGAUCUUUUCCCCCUCAUCAUCCAAAUCCUUAAACUUUUAAGAACUUUGUUAUUGAAGAAAAGAACAAUUGGAUUCAGAUAUACAAUGUUUAUUUUUCUGCAUUGUGGUUUUUUUGUUUUUGUUUUAUGUCUAUAUGUUUUCUAUUCACUUGGUUUUUCUUUUUUGUGGUUUUUCUGUGGUAUUUACACCUUUUUGUUCAAAUAUGACAAAUCAUGUAUAAUAUGUUUUUGAUUGUGAGUGCUUCUUUAUUUUUUGCCGAGGUGGAUUUUUGGUUUUGUAAAGAGAAGGUUGAAGUUAUUUUUAUUGGUUGGUUAGCUGCUCUCUUUGUAAGUUUUUUUUUCUAUUGAUCUCUUAUUGCCUCAUGAUGUGCAUAUAUAUAUAUUUCUUGUUUACAAUAGAUGAAACCAUAUUUAUUGUUUACAGUGUCCCCACUUUCGUAUUUGGGAUUUUAUCGUCUAGAUGAAUGGUAGAAAAUGGCUUUUGGGCAAUGUUUUUGUGAUGUAAACCAUCCUUCGAUAGAAGAAAUUUGGUUUAAGCUGCAACUUAUUGUACUUCUUUUUCUUGGCAUAUUGAUUCAGUUCGACCCUUUUAACAGUACAUUUAAGAUAUUAUAAUUUAAGUAUAGUCUGCAAAAGGUGAAAUCGAUAGGAGUUGAUUGAGUCGCAAUAAUAGUCUCAAUUGGAAUUGCAUUAGCUGAAGUUUUGACUACAGCUGGUGCAUAUAAUAAAAGAUCGCCAAAUACUCGCCGCUCCUUGGUCAGCCCUUGGUAGCUUAGCUCUGUUUUUAUAAGUAAUACAUUGCUCUCAAACCAUGUCAAAGUGUAAUAAUAUUUUGUUUCAUAAUAGAUGAUAUCUAAGGCUUCAAAGCAUCAAUCUAGAUAGAAGGAUAACAUGUUUAUAAACUUACAAGUACUAGGAGCUGAAUAUGUUUUUUUUGUAUCUUUACUGCUUUGUUCAAUACAUAUAUACUAGUCAUAGAUUCGUGCAAUGCAUAGAGCAACAUUGAAUAAUUAGCUUUUUCUACAUCUGUGCAGGGUAAAAGUUCCAUAUCCAUUUCAACGGGGACGUCCUUCUUUCAAUACCGGUGAUGCUUUUUCAAUGUUGCUUCUCUUGGUGCAAUUGUAGAGGUUUACUUUAAUCUUUUCUUUUUUAAAUGUAUACUAACUGGUGUUGCGAUGGUUCUUAUAUAUUUUAUUAUUCUUGGAUAUAAUCAUCACAAGAGCUAGUUCUAGCAAUAUUUUGUAUAUGACAAUAUGUGCCAUGAUCAGUAUGGUAUUAUGGACUAAACAUCUUACUUAGCAAAAGUUCUCUGUGAAUUGUGAACUACCAUGUUCUUUUUUAUAUUUUGUUAUUGUAAUUUGACAAUUUCUUUUUAUUUGGGUAUAUUUUGAUAUGUGUUUUACUCUUUUCAAUCUUUGAGGAUAGUCAACUAGGAUGUUCAUUGCAGCAUUAAGAUUUGGCAGUGCAACACUUGUUCCACCUUCAGCACUUAAAAGCUGGCUGGUACUAUGUCAUUCUUUCACAGUACAUGUAUAAGUGCAUUUAUUUCAUGAAAAUUAGAAUCAUGUGUUGAAGUUUGAUGAUUUCAGGAUAUUGGGACUCUUUUAGAUCACUACAACAUUUUGGUGCUACGACAACGCCUAAUUUUUUUACUGUAAAAAAACUGUUCUCGUAGAGUCUAAUAGAGAACUGUUUUUAAAUUUCAUUGCAGUAGUACAAUUAAUUUUAUAAUUUCUACUGUAACAAUUUAAAACCGUUCUAACUAUUUAUUUGUAUAUUUAUACAACAUUUAAUAAAAGUUCUUGUUUAGGUUUUAAUAAAUCCGUUGUGGAAGUCAAAGUAAAUAUUUCUGUACCGCUCAAACACUUUCAGCAAAAUCCCUCUCUCUCUCUCUCUCUGAAACUUGUUCCUGUGUGAACACUAUCUCGCACUCGCAAGCUCUGUUCCUGUUUACUCCCUCGCAAACUCUGUUCCUCUUCUCUCUCGCGUAAUCCUCUCUUCUCUCUCUCUCGCGCGCAAAACAGUAACCCUCUCUUCUCUUUCUCGCUUGACUGUUCUUGUUUCUGAAUGAAAAAGGGGAAAAACAAGUGUUGGUGAUGGAAGCUUGUGAAUGAACAUCAAUUAAGGUUUUUCUCAUGACUUGUAAGACUUAUCCCCUUUUCUCGCAACUCUACAGCAUCGGUUACGGUUCGCUCAACCUCUGCAUCGAUUAGGGUUUUCUCGCAACUCUGCAGAAUCGAUUACGGGUUGCUCAACCUUUGCGAGAUUUGCAAAACUUCUACCUCUUCGUGACUUGGUGAUUUUCGGUAUGUAUUUUCAUCCUUGCUCUGUUAUUGCUCAAUCUCUGCGAGGAUUUCUGGUUUCUGGUUACGAUUACGAUUUCUGAAAUGAUUUCUGACUAUGAUUUCUGAUUUCUUAUUCACAUAUAUGACGUGGUGUUCUCACAAAUUUAUUUUAUUUUAUUUUUUCUUUAUGGAUUUUGAUUAUAUUUUUUUCCUUUGUAAGCACGUGUGUGUUGACAAUAAAGUUCAAAAAAUUUCAGUGGAUUAGUGUAGUUCUGAUGAUAGAUUAGUUAUGAUUUUGUUGAGAUGGGUGCUUUUAUACAGGUGAUAUGCCAAGUAUGAUUGGUCUUCCUUCAGAUCAUGCACUUGUUGAGGAUGAUGAAUGCUUAAGGUUUUUUUUCUCUUAACAAGCAUUUGUGUUAAUAUAAUAUUGGUUCCACUGCAUUUAUUUUUUGUGAAGCAGGCAAGCACAAAGAUCACAAAUCGAAAUCGAAAAAGUGGUGAAUCCUUUAAAUAAUAUUUAGAUUAAAUUACUAAAUUCUAGAAAAUAACAGAUAAUGCAGACAGUCUAUCAAUUGAAAACAAUAUUUAGGAUAACUACUAUGCAUAUAUUGGUGAUAGGUAAGUUUAGUUUAUUAGAUUCGUCUGACACUAAACACUAAAAUUAGUGAUUCAUUACUUCUUGUCUUUGGAGUAUCAGUUUAGACAUAGUACUGUACUACUAUAUAUACUGAAAUUUGAUCCUGACCUGAGCCAAACAGUGAUCGAGCCAGAAAUUUGUGUCAGGGGGUCAAACAUACACUAUAGGAAAAGAAAAUUAUUGCAUGACUUUUUCUUGUUAUUAGAAUCAUAUUAAGUAAAUAUAUUAAAAGAGUAUACAAGAACUAUGUCUAAUUUCAUGGGGUAAAGCAUGUGUAUGUUUCUGCUAAUAUCUUUUUACCUUAAUGUGCAUUACUUACGAGGACUUAAUUUAAUGAACAGAUGGAUUAAAAAUUACGCAGACAAUGAGAAUAUGUUCUUUGAAGGUUUUAGAAAUGCGUAUUUCAAGCUAGUGAAAUCUGGUGUGAGAGGGAAUAGCUUAUAAAUCAGGAGUUGGAAGUUCCAACUUAAACUGAAGCAACAUCUUGUUUGUUAUUUUGGGAGUUGUAUUAAAAUUUUGAAUUAACUAAGUGUAUACAUGCAUGUUCAUUAAAUUUGUGUGACUAAGUUUUUAAAUUUGAAGUGUAAGUGCUAGAAAUAUGUAAUUAAAAAUUAGGAUAACAAAUAUUGAUCGAACUUGGACCACAAAUCACAACUAUUCAUAUUUGUAAAUUAGGAUAACAAAUAUUGAUCGAACUUGAAAGAAAUAAUUUAAGGGUUAAGGACGUAGUAUUGGUAAAUGGGGUGUCCUGCUGCACUUGGGAGAAAUGGAAAAUUAUGAGUGAUGAGACAAACCGGAUAAUUAAGAAUGGGAGCCAGCUAUCAUCAAGUCCUUCUGAAACCGUCAAUCAUAUUCGACCAACUCUAUUGAUUAUCCUGGAGGAUUUAAUUAUGUCUCUUAAAAGCAUGGCUGCGCCAAAUGUAUGCUUUCUAAUUGUGAAGCUGGAAUAUUUAUAUGAUAAUAGAAAAUUUUAACUACCUCUUCACAGUUUUUUCUAUUUCCCUUUAUUAAUUUUCAUAUUUCAUGACAGGAAAAAAUGACGAAUGAGAUCCACAUUAAGCUACUGACCGAGUGUGCAAUUUUUUUGAUGCUAUGAAUCUAAUAUUCCAAAUAACCAUGGUGUCACCAUUUUGGCGUUCAUGUACCUAUAGAUUGACAGUCAUUCAAAGAAUGUUUUUGAGGAUCUUAUAUCUGCGAUUGUUCCUUGUUGGUUGUCGAAGACAGAUGAUGUGGAGAAAUUACUGAAGGUUUGUUUUUCAUUAAAAUGCUUUUGGGUUUUCACGUCUUGUUGACAAGAUUGGAAGUAACUCUUGGCAGAUCAAUUUUCUGAUAUGUUUUUUUUCUUUCCUCAGGUUUUCAUAGAUGUAUUUCUUGAAGUAGUUGACAACUGAAGGCUGUCAAUUGUUUUAUAUCUCCUACGGUACUUUCUACAUUAUGAUCCCAAAAUUGGAACUUACCCAUUGGUUUGUGAUCGGCAUCUUAUAACGGUGGAUGUUUUGCAGAACUUGGGCGAGGGUAACAGCUUGGCCUCAUUGCUUGUCUUGUUGUUCUCAUCAUUAGUUUCAAGGAGAGCCUGUUGUUUCCUCAAUAUUGAUGAUGCUUGAGUAGAGGGGAAAUUGAAAUGGUGAACAGGUGCUGUUUCUGGAGUUGGUGAGGUACAAAUAUACUCUAAUAUUAAUGCUGAAGCAGUGUUGGGCAUUAUGAACUGAAAUAUUCAUUGUAUUUGUAUAUUUGUGUGUGUGUAAUGUGUAAAUAUAUUGUUUGAUUUUCUUUGUAAUUUUCAUUCUGAGAUGCUUUUUUUUUUCAUUCUUAGCGUGAUAUCGCCAGUCUUGUAUGCUUUUAUUUGAUUGAAUGUUCUAUUCUGAGUGGUCUGUAAACUCUUCUCUUUAUUCUAACAAAAAUUUCAUGUUCUUAUUCAAAAUAUGUGAUGGUGCUUCAUCCUAAAUAUCUAUCAGUAAUGGACGCCAAUGUAGAAUCUCGAGCUCGUGGAUUACGAAAGCUUCUUGCGGAAAAAAUUCUGGUAAGCUCAUGGUUACACCUUACUUUAUUUGAAUCAGUACUGUUAGAAAUAGUUGACUAUUAGAAAUAAUUGAAGUCUACUUUGCAUUUAAAUUGAUUCAUCUGGAAAUGGUUAUGUAUUACUCUCAAAGACAUGUGUCCUGGUUUGACUUUAUAAUCACAUUUAUAGACUUUAACAUUUUGUCAUUUAUUCUUGAUCAAUUUCAACAUUUGGAAGCACAAGAUGAAUAGAUAGAUGUCGAUACUUAAGUUUUGUUUGUUUGGUUGUUUUUUUUUUUUAUAGACAAGGAUUUUUAUUUUUGUUAUUUUGUUUGUCUCCUUUUCUCUAGAAUAUAAGUUAGAGAAAUUGAAUUAGUACGUACGACGUAUGAAUGAUCAUGAGUUACAACUUUUUUUAACUUAAAUUAGUGAAAUGCGUAUAUCGCAAUUGUUAUAUUUUAAAUUCAUUAUAGUAUAUUAUAACAAUUUUUUAUUAUCGCAACUGUUAUAUUUUUAAAUUUAUUAUUAUAUUACAAUAAUGAUGUUUUACUAAAAUUAUUUUUCUAAAAGACAAUAAUUUACGAUAUUAUUUUUUUUAAAUAUUUUACUUUCUGCAACGGUUAUAAAGCGUUGCGGUACCUUAAUUUAAAAAAAUGCCUACCAGAACGGUUUUAACUUGGCGACAACGUAAAACUGUUGUCGUUGUAAAUUUGAAAAACCGUUCUGUAAGAGAUAGCUGGAAGGAGAUAGGUUUAUAUUUUUAGUAAAACAGUCCAAUUCACCAAUAAAUUUAAAAUUAUAACAAACUUUUUUAAUUUUUGUGAUUUAGUCAACAAAAUUGUAUUUAUAGGGAGGUAGGUAGUAUUUUUUAGGUUUAAUUAUUUUUCAGAUCACUAAACUAUUUGAGAAUUUUUAAAGGGUUUAAUAACCAUGCAAUGCACCAUCAAUUUAUAUUUUCUCUUUUAUUUACCUGUCUCCUCCCUCGAUAUACUCUCACUUAAGAAAAAUGUAAUUAGGAUUUUUUUUUAGCAAAAAAAUGUUUAAUUAAGAUAACUGAGACAUGUUUUGUAAUUAGGUCAAAACUAAUUACCAAAAAUAUACUGUAUAAGUUUAAAAACUUGAUUACAAUUUACAGGAUAGUUAAACCUAUAUUUUAUUUUGAUUCUCCAUCCAAAAACUCACUAUUUCUCUAUGUUUCAUUAGGAUUUUUGCACAAAAAAAGAAACUCGAAAGAGGAACAGCUCAUAACAUUCCUUGUUUUUCAUCUCCUCUUCGGCCGAGGAAGAUAACAAUUCCUAUCUUUGGCGACUUUCUUCCUUCAGCUCUGUCAUUAGAAUCUUUUUGUUCACUCUUUCUCAUUUUCUCACAGAGCUUUAGGGUUUAUGAUCUUUUCCCCCACUUCAUCCAAAUCCUUUAACUUUGAAGAAACUUUGUUAUUGAAGAAAAGAACAAUUGGAUUCAGAUAUGCAAUGUUUUUUUUUCUGCAUUGUGGUUUUUUUUUUGUCUUAUGUGUUUUCUAUUCACUUGGUUUUUCUUUUUUGUAGUUUUUCUGUAGUAUUUACACCUUUUUGUUCAAAU